UUUGUUGAUAUGAUAGGGGACUAGCCAUAUACAAGCAGUCUGCGGAAGUGCAGGUUCUAGAGAAAAUGUGUUUUCUUACAAAGAUUACCCAAUCUUCAUUGUCAAUUGGAAUCGCGUAUCUGCUCCAAAAACUUGCAGAGAAUUGCUAAGGAAAAGAGCAAACCUUUUAGGUGCCUAUAGGAAACAAUACCAAGGGAUGGGAAAAAAAAUGUCCUUCCU
RNAcentral lists this long non-coding RNA (219 nucleotides) under Nicotiana benthamiana. RNAcentral's name for it is "long non-coding RNA (NBEN_LNC000741)". Lineage: Eukaryota; Viridiplantae; Streptophyta; Magnoliopsida; Solanales; Solanaceae. The record is from RNAcentral.